UACGUAGGGGGCAAGCGUUGUCCGGAUUUAUUGGGCGUAAAGAGCGUGUAGGCGGCCAGGUAGGUCUGGUGUGAAAACUCGAGGCUUAACCUCGAGAUGUCAUCGGAAACCAUCUGGCUAGAGUCCGGAAGAGGAGAGUGGAAUUCCUGGUGUAGCGGUGAAAUGCGCAGAUAUCAGGAAGAACACCUAUGGCGAAGGCAGCUCUCUGGGACGGUACUGACGCUGAGACGCGAAAGCGUGGGGAGCGAACAGG
Molecule: ribosomal RNA, 253 nt
Filed under: uncultured bacterium
Lineage: Bacteria
Description: partial 16S ribosomal RNA
Rfam family: Bacterial small subunit ribosomal RNA
Source: RNAcentral